ACCCUCGGCGCAUGCGCCCUCGUGGUCUCGGGGGCCCGAUGUGGGCGGCCAUCUUUGUACGGGAGACUUCCGGUGGUGGGGGAGGUCGGGCGGUUCGAUCCCAAUCCUGACACCUGAAUAUUUUCAGUCUGCAUGUCCGGGUCCUCCGACAAGCCACUUCUUUGAGCUAUCAUUUGUGGCCAGGUCGCUUCUGAAAAAGAAGCUAAUAGCUCAGUGGGCAUUACCUGAUAAAAUAAAGCAUUGUUUAGUUUUAUUUGUAUAUCUUUCUUUAAUGAUGUUUACUUCACCUAUACUUUGCACUGUUUUUGUAUUGUUUACUGUUGUAUUGUGACCUGCCCCGACUGGAGAUCUGUGACAAAGAGCUUUAUAGCUCAUCGGAUUCCUCCUGCAGUAUAAAUAAAUAUUCUGAUUCUAAAUCACUUUCAGAGUUUAGAUGUCCUUUCAAGUGUUCGUACAAUUAAUCUAUGGCUCUACUUUGCUGACUUUUUUUAGACGCGUGUGUUUUUACAAUCCUACCGACCUCGGUGCUGUUUUUCUUACAAGAUUUUGUUUGUUCGAGAUGCGUUCUGCCAGCUUUGCUUCGUUCUUUGUGCUGGUAUUGCCAUGAUGUUGAUGCACGACUUUGCCAUUCGCAACUUCACUACGUACACAGUUGUUCGUUUUGGUUCACGUAUUUGUUUUGCUGUAGUAACCAAGUUUAUACGGUGUUUCCAGGUCCCCAUCGAAAAUGAGCAUUCAUUGCCCUAUGUGUUUUACCUGUGCCAAAAUAAACCAAACUCGUAACAUUG
This is a non-coding RNA of Petromyzon marinus (sea lamprey), 788 nucleotides long. Lineage: Eukaryota; Metazoa; Chordata; Hyperoartia; Petromyzontiformes; Petromyzontidae. The record is from RefSeq and is a predicted model, not a curated record.